This is a long non-coding RNA of Acanthochromis polyacanthus (spiny chromis), 1364 nucleotides long. RefSeq lists it as uncharacterized. The transcript has 2 exons. Lineage: Eukaryota; Metazoa; Chordata; Actinopteri; Pomacentridae. The record is from RefSeq and is a predicted model, not a curated record.
CUCGCAGUCCGCCGCUGCGCCUCAAACACACAGAAAUAUUUGCUUAUAUGCUCAGGGAAGCAGCGGCCGAAUGAAGCCUUGUUGAUUCUCUCCUCCCACGCAGCAGCGCUACUCCCAGCAUCGUACUAUUAUCACAGGAAAAACAGAAAGAGGAACACUGAAUGCAGGGAUCCUGACCGAACGCCCACCAUGACGCAGAAGGAGGGAGAGGAAGAGGAGGAGGAGGAAGAGGAAGAGGAGGAGGAAGAGGAAGAGGAAGAGAAGGAGGAAGAGAAGGAGGAGGAGGAGGAGGAGGAAGAGGAAGAGGAAGAGGAAGAGGAAGAGAAGGAGGAAGAGGAGGAGGAGGAGGAGAAGGAGGAAGGAGGUUUAGGAUGCAGGAGAGAUCCAGCAGACAGGAGGGAGAGAAGAGGGGAUGAUGGACGAGGAGUGAAGGUAGGACAGGAGGAUAAAUGAGCAGAGAGGAUGGAAAACCGUACGGAGGAAGACAAACUGGAAGCUUCCCAGCAGAGCUGCAUCUCUGGGAUUUAAAUGUAUGAACCUCCUCAGUAAUAAUCACAGCCGGGUUUCCUCCUGAUUCAGAGCCUGAAGUGAAACUCGGCAUGGUGAUAUGAGAGCACGGCGGUCUGCAGAGUCACGCAUCUUAAGAUCCUCGUAUGUCAUUUUACGGAGUGAAAAAUAACACAGGAAAUAGUCUGGGUCAUUCGUCAUGACGGCACGGUGAGAAAUGACAAGAAAAAAGAAGAAAUGACAUUCUGAUAACACCAGAAGUGACCUGCUAGCUUAUUUAUACGCCGUUUCAUCAUACCGGGCUGGAAAAUGGACAAAAUGGAAAAUGUUUGAGGAAAAUCUGACCAGAGAAAAGCAACUAAAGCAGCUAAAGCAGACACACAGGCCACAUUUUAUCUAAACCGGUGUAAAGCUGCAGGACUUAAAAUGAACAGAAACACUCAGACUGCUGGGAGUUCAGAGGGUUAACAUCCAUCACGUUUCUGAUCAUUCUGCUGCAUCUCCACCUCUGCACAGCCUGGAUGCUGCAGAUGAACAGUGAUGGAAAAGAAAGAAGAACAAACGUGUGCAGCAGAAGAUGAUGCUCCAGACUGAUCACCACUGGGUGUUUGGAACUUUCAGUCAAAAGAUUUCAUUCAUACUUUGCUUCUGUGAGAGUUUUUAGUGGGGAGGAAGAAGAUCUACAAACACGAAGGAGAAACAGUUUUGUUCAUAUUUCAGUGUGCAGUAAACACUUCACAGGAUGAAUAAUGAAGAAUCCUGAUUCAAAAGAAUCAUGUAACCUGAAUACAAACAGAACUGUUAGUAGAGUAUCUGUCCAGACAACAUUAUCUGAGAUAAAGAUCCUCUUAAAUUAA